Molecule: long non-coding RNA, 324 nt
Organism: Perca fluviatilis (European perch)
Lineage: Eukaryota; Metazoa; Chordata; Actinopteri; Perciformes; Percidae
Exons: 3
Source: RefSeq, a predicted model, not a curated record
CCUCUCUCCAUCUCUCCAUAGGCUCCUCACUCCUAGCAUCAUAUUUUCCUCCGUCUUUUCCCUGAGUCAUUGUGUUAACACCGGCGGUCUCCUGUUUGGGUUUCGACGGCUCUCUGGAUCUUGUCAGGUCCCUCUGAUGAAAAUAUUCGACGACAUUUCAAAAUGACUGAAGUGGCUCCAAGCUGCACUGAGAUGACAGCGCUGGCCCCUCCUCCUGCACCGCUGAUCACCAGCAGGAAUGCAUCUCCUGCUCGAUCACCAUCCAGUCGCAACAGCCUUCCAGAUCAGUUAAAGAAGGAAAGGAAGGACAGAAGGAACAAAGAC